CUUUAAGUCUGUCUGGAAAGAUUGCGCAAUUCCAGCUGCCUGCAAGUCUGUGGUUACGUACAUUAUAAUAUAUCAAGAAACAUUUUGGCAACAGAAUUGUUUUGCAGGGAUGUUGCUUUCUUCUGGAAGAGCAGAGAGGCUGAGCUCUACAUGCCUUAAUCGGGGUCUCUGUCAUCUUAAAAUCUUUUUCUUCUGUCAGGGCAGUGUUAACAAACUAUAGCCUACAAAACAGAAUGCAUAUUUUCAAGAAUGCAUAAUUAUUUUCACUCUGAAAUUUGACCUUGAAUUUGUCCUGUUUCUGUUCUGGGGCACCAAACUGUUUUUUUUGAUUGUGUGCUACCCUGAGGGGGUCUGUCACCAGAUGUUUGCCCCCUCUUAGGGCUGGGGAGCACCUUUACAUUGUUCAUAGAUCCCCCUCCUGAGCCAGCUUCAGCCCUUUGUUUUAAUUCUGUAGAGGCCGCAUGUUGGAACACGAAACAAAACGUUUUCUUCAUUAGUGCUUCCCAUGUUACUAUUGGUCUGAGCCUGAUGGCUGCGUCCUACUCAACAUUUCCCGCAAAUGCACAGCACAUAAAUCAGCAUUGAGCAAUCAUAAAGCGAGCAGUCCGCACGAAAAACAUUUCUUUCUUGAACAUUUCUUCUGUGAACACAAAAUCUAGUUCCUUUGCAAAGGAAGACUACACUUAUUUGCAUUUUAAGUAAGCAGGAUGGAUAGUGUGAAGAAGUGAAUGUGACUUCCUUUAUAACAUAUUUUUCUCAUUCGCUUUUACAGUCUUGCAGAAUUUGACUAGCACUUCUGCAGUGAGGAUUCUCCUCUGACAACUUACUGCUCGCAGCAGUUCUUCUUUGUGUUACAGCUACACAUACACACAUUUGCUUAUGGAACAGCAAAGUGAGGUACAGCUGCCUGAAUGAGCCUGUGACAUUUUCUGGUUUCUUGCCUACGCUUCCAUUACUGCUCAGGAAGGCUUUUCAUAGUCUGCACUGGAAACAAGAGUACUUCAAUGAUUUCCACAGCCCUCUUCAUUCAUACCAUUGCCCAGAAGCAUCAAACUGUUCAGUUGCAGCUCUGCCAAGUCCUCUGCUGCCUCCUGUUCCUUACCUCUGCCCCCUGCGUCUUAGCGCUCAGCCAGCACAGGCUCCUGCGGUCCUCCGCUACAACAGAGGCACCUACAAUUAACCCUGAUGGAAAAAAAUACUUUCCCAUGAAGUUGAUGCAGGUCGGAGCACAGUGCACAGACCACGUCAAGGAACCCCUACCAACCACGUUAACUCAAGGUGUGGGAGCAGAACACAAGGGUCAGCCACUACUAAGUGACUGAGGAUCUCUCACUACGAAGCAACUAGGUGCUAAAAUGGCACAUGAAAUCUAACGGUAACAAGUGCAAAAUACACUGCUACAGCAGUAGGAGAAAGGAGAGAGAAUAUGAGCAAAGGGAAUGGGAUAAAGAAGACCCAAGGCAGCAGGAAUUAAGUUUGCUUAAAAGCAGAGAAAAACGCUAGGAGCUACAGAUGAACAAAAGUUCCAGUUUCCUUUUCAUACGCACAUAUAUUUAUUAGGACACUUAUUGCGGGUUUUGGAAUUAAAUCAGUGUUUGCUGUACCUGAAGGAAUCGGUGAUGAUCGCAGCACACAUGAU
Long non-coding RNA from Chroicocephalus ridibundus (black-headed gull), 1639 nucleotides. RefSeq lists it as uncharacterized. The record is from RefSeq and is a predicted model, not a curated record. The transcript has 3 exons. Lineage: Eukaryota; Metazoa; Chordata; Aves; Charadriiformes; Laridae.